RNAcentral lists this ribosomal RNA (889 nucleotides) under uncultured bacterium. RNAcentral's name for it is "bacterial SSU rRNA". It matches the Rfam family "Bacterial small subunit ribosomal RNA", at positions 505 to 1397 of the family's 1533-position model. The record is from RNAcentral.
GUGCCAGCAGCCGCGGUAAUACGGAAGGUCCGGGCGUUAUCCGGAUUUAUUGGGUUUAAAGGGAGCGCAGGCGGGGAGGUAAGCGUGACGUGAAAUGUAGCCGCUCAACGGCUGAACUGCGUCGCGAACUGCCUCUCUUGAGUGAGUACGACGUCAGCGGAAUUUGUGGUGUAGCGGUGAAAUGCUUAGAUAUCACGAAGAACCCCGAUUGCGAAGGCAGCUGACGAGUCCUUUACUGACGCUAAAGCUCGAAGGUGCGGGUAUCGAACAGGAUUAGAUACCCUGGUAGUCCGCACGGUAAACGAUGGAUGCCCGCUGUUGGCGAUAUACUGUCAGCGGCCAAGCGAAAGCGUUAAGCAUCCCACCUGGGGAGUACGCCGGCAACGGUGAAACUCAAAGGAAUUGACGGGGGCCCGCACAAGCGGAGGAACAUGUGGUUUAAUUCGAUGAUACGCGAGGAACCUUACCCGGGCUUGAACUGCAGCGGAAGGAUACAGAGAUGUUGACGCCCUUCGGGGCCGCUGUGGAGGUGCUGCAUGGUUGUCGUCAGCUCGUGCCGUGAGGUGUCGGCUUAAGUGCCAUAACGAGCGCAACCCUUUUCAUUAGUUGCCAUCAGGUAAUGCUGGGCACUCUGGUGAUACUGCCACCGUAAGGUGUGAGGAAGGUGGGGAUGACGUCAAAUCAGCACGGCCCUUACGUCCGGGGCUACACACGUGUUACAAUGGGUGGUACAGAGAGCUGGCCGUACGCAAGUACGGUCCAAUCAGGAAAGCCAUCCUCAGUUCGGACUGGGGUCUGCAACCCGACCCCACGAAGCUGGAUUCGCUAGUAAUCGCGCAUCAGCCAUGGCGCGGUGAAUACGUUCCCGGGCCUUGUACACACCGCCCGU